Mastomys coucha (southern multimammate mouse) is the source of this 305-nucleotide long non-coding RNA. RefSeq lists it as uncharacterized. NCBI's taxonomy places the organism in Eukaryota, Metazoa, Chordata, Mammalia, Rodentia, Muridae. The transcript is spliced from 2 exons. The record is from RefSeq and is a predicted model, not a curated record.
CCUGCCUAAAGGAUGAAGUUACACUGUCACUGGGUUCUAUUCCUGAAUACUCUGUCUGUGACCUAGCCUCCAGAGUACCUUCCACUGGAGUGUGAGACGCCUCUUAGGAGCUGAAUCCCACCAAACCACGCAGCUGGCUACAAUUUGCUCAGGCCACAAGGGGGCAGUGCAACCAAGCUGAUCAUCUCACCCAAGGGAUUACGAACAGACCUAGGAGCGCAGGCAAGCAGCCUGCAGAACUUUUGCCCCGUCCCUAGAGAAGAGUGUCAAAAAGCAUGGAGAAGAAUAAUGUAACAGGUUUGUGG